This is a long non-coding RNA of Dermacentor silvarum, 2647 nucleotides long. RefSeq lists it as uncharacterized. Lineage: Eukaryota; Metazoa; Arthropoda; Arachnida; Ixodida; Ixodidae. The transcript is spliced from 2 exons. The record is from RefSeq and is a predicted model, not a curated record.
UCGACGCGCCAUCUCUGCUCUCAUUCCCGAGCCGCUCCUCCGCGAAGCACUUCCAGUCUUUGUUGCGUGCACUCGACCCAGAGACUGCUCGGCGCAAGCUUAUUCGUGGCUACGGAAAUUUGUGAGUGGCACCCUUAAGUGCUCAGCUGUGCGACAGAGCGCCUUCGGCAACAACGUGCCAUUGCGGCAUUACAGGGUCCCAACUCGAAAGAGCGACGACAAAACGGAAAGCGAACUGCACCUCCUGAACGACACCUCUCUAGCUGGCUUGACUGGAGUUACAGCGGCGCUGCAGCCAUGAGCUCUCUUGAGAAAUUCUGCUGCGCGUAGAAGGAGGACCGUCUCGAGCUGCGGCCCUGACAUCCGGUGUCUGCCCUUUCACUGUGCCGACCUCGUCUUCACUACCACUCCCGUCGUGGGCGUCGAUGACCGUGCCAUCCGACCCGACAGAUGCGCCAUAUUUGGCACUUCUGCUGCUUCUACCGGCAGCGAUACCGCACGUUAUCAAGAGCGUACUGUUUCUUCUGUUAAUGUUGCUCGUGGUUCCUAAGGCGCGUGCGUUUGUGCUGCAGAUUUUAUGCGCGUUCUUCUGGAUGGUGGCAGUAUGCCUCAAGCUGUGCGAUACAAUUUCUGCGCGUUUAUGGCAUGACUUUGUAAGGACGUGGGAGUCGCUGAGUGAAUUUCUCGCGUAUUCCUUGAUUGGAUGCUUGCUUGCUUGCUGCGCGAUCGUCGGCGGGAUUGUGUUCUUAUCUGUGUAUGGGAUUGCGAAACUGGUCCAACGACCCGCGACUUGGCUGGCUCACCAAUUGCUGGUGCCUCUGGGAAGGGCCGCUUGUCACUGCUGCUGGUGCACUUGCUGCUGGACUGAAGAAAAUUCGUCUCCUCUGGACGCCGGUAACGAAACAUCGCGGCAAACAUAUCCGGACACUAAAAGUGUCGAAGAAUAUCGCGAUUGCGAAGGAAGCGAUACCGCGAGCACCGGGAGCGAAUGUCUCCAAAUUCUCGUCGAGGAAUCCGCGUCUCGCUUACCGCAGUACGACACACCCACGGACACUGCAACCAUCAUCGAGAGCUCAGAUGCCGGUCAGCGUUUGACGAAUGCUGUAAUGCCCGAUAUGCCUUCUGGGCAAAUGAAAGAAAAAGAAAAAAAACUCACCUCUAACCAUGUCUCUGAUGUAAACAAAGUACCAAGAUAUGUGACUCAUUUGGAUUCCUCGCCUGCCUAAUAAUUUUCUCUUCUCAAAAUUAUUAUUUAUUUUUGUGUGUGCGUGUAUUGCACAUGCACAGAACGCAUAGUUGAUUGGAUAUUUGGUUGCUGAUGAAUUGAUGAAGUGUUGAUUUGAUAGUUUAUUGUAUAUUUGAAGUUGCGCAAGGUUGUUAAGCCUGUCCGAAUCGCCAUUGCAAAAAAAUAUUUCAUUGGGCCCAAAACAAGCCUAUGGAUCCCCUCAGUGUUUGCAAAAUUUGUUUUUAUAAAAAAUACACAUAAAUCAAUCAAUCAAUCAAUCAACCAAUCAAUUAAUCAAACAAACUCAAAAUAAUACUAUAUCUCUCACACAUUUCAAGUGCCUUUUAUAAUAAAGGGAGGUUUAUGUUUCUUUUCUGGACGGUAAUGUGGCGCCACGAAGUGCGAUGUUACUUCACCAUAAAGCAAUAAUAGAGACGCAAAUUUUAGAGCCAACGUUGAGUUAUUUUGUGUAGUCGGUUCUUUUCUGUACUUGGGCUUCAUGAAAGGUUACCUUUCACUGAAAGCACACAGUUUUAUAAAAGUGGUUCAAUAAUUACUCAAUUAAUAUCUUGUGUCUUCCGUGAAUGCACUCCCUCCACUGGCACCUGCUGAUUGAUUGCUACUUGUCAAGUGAAAUAUUUAGAUCUCGAAAGCCUCAAAGGGGAAAUGAACUCACUGCCAUAGUGUAUCACUUUACAAUCAGAACAUACUAAACUAUGGGAGCUCCGUUUUGACUCGUUUUGUCCGCACGCGUUGUUUCCUUCAAACAUUGCUCAGCCAUCCUUAGGUAAAGCACUGCAGGCACCUAACUGGUUAGCGCGGACCACACAAACCGCUUGAUCGAAAGUUUAAACGCAAGUUAAUGAACGACCAUUAACCCGACUAAUCGUUUCAACUGUUUAAAUAUAGCGUGGUACACGCCAGUUAGCGUGAGUUCGAGCGUUUCUUGCACGUAAGGUUUCUCAAUUUCUUCGUGCAUGCCUUUCCCGCUUGUUCUCGCAAAGUUCGUGUAUUUCAUGGCUCAAAAUCUAAUCUUGCUCCUUUAUUUAUGCCUGUAUAUCCUACUGACCAGUUGAAAGCUGUACGUGGCCUAAUAGUUUCACGUAUUUUGCGCGAUCGCGUCCUUUUCCCCCGCAAUCUGUCUAGCUUACGUAGGCAGAUUGCGCAAAUAAAUAUUGCGACAUAUUCUUGUUGAGCGUUAUCGGCGCCUGUAUUGUUUUCUUUUUCUUGUGCAAGACGUUCGUAACGGACCUGUGUACGUACAAAUGCCAGGCAAGCCUACUUAUUACAUUUCAAUUUUGCCUGCAUCUGAAAGCCUCUUCACAGCCUACGUAUUUAUAGAACAACGCGAACCUGGGCGUAACCUAGCGUUCCUGAGUCAUUUGCGUUUGCGCACGUUGGAGGAUAAGUGUAUACGCUAAA